This 71-nucleotide transfer RNA is filed under the name Rhodothalassium salexigens DSM 2132. It matches the Rfam family "tRNA". From Rfam's summary of the family: Transfer RNA (tRNA) molecules are approximately 80 nucleotides in length. Their secondary structure includes four short double-helical elements and three loops (D, anti-codon, and T loops). Further hydrogen bonds mediate the characteristic L-shaped molecular structure. tRNAs have two regions of fundamental functional importance: the anti-codon, which is responsible for specific mRNA codon recognition, and the 3' end, to which the tRNAs corresponding amino acid is attached (by aminoacyl-tRNA synthetases). tRNAs cope with the degeneracy of the genetic code in two manners: having more than one tRNA (with a specific anti-codon) for a particular amino acid; and 'wobble' base-pairing, i.e. permitting non-standard base-pairing at the 3rd anti-codon position. The record is from Rfam by way of RNAcentral. Lineage: Bacteria; Pseudomonadati; Pseudomonadota; Alphaproteobacteria; Rhodothalassiales; Rhodothalassiaceae.
UGGGGCGUAGCCAAGCGGUAAGGCAUCGGUUUUUGGUACCGUGAUCGCAGGUUCGAAUCCUGCCGCCCCAG